RNAcentral lists this small nuclear RNA (23 nucleotides) under Arabidopsis thaliana (thale cress). RNAcentral describes it as "snRNA_16674". The record is from RNAcentral. Lineage: Eukaryota; Viridiplantae; Streptophyta; Magnoliopsida; Brassicales; Brassicaceae.
AGCGUGCUUGAGCUGAUAAAGUC